CCAAGAAAACAGGAGAAGAAUGAUUCAAUCCAUGACAUGUAAUUAAUUACAGAACACUCCAUCACGAUCAAGAAAAGAGAAUUGUCAGUUUUCACAGCUAUGGGUAAAGCUAGCAAAUGUAAAUAAAAAUUUAAUUAAAAAAAAAGGCAAAGGCAAUCCCUCCAGCUGGCUUCAAAAGAGACAUGGCGAUUGACAAGGAAAAAAGCACUGCCAAAGAUCAUUUGAAACUUGAAUUAUACGUGAAGUAGAUAGGAUUUCAUCCGUACGGCAAGGUUAACUUAGAUGCCAUGUUUGGUACUUAACAUGAUGACCACUUAAAUGAGCUGACCACCUCGUCAGACGAAAAACAUGUUCGAAGCCUUUUGAUGAGAGAAUCGAGUGGGUUCCAACGAGGGGCCAAAACAGCACCCUCACUGAGCAAAAAUCAGUCUUGAGCACUCGAGCACAGUUCAGCACAGACUAGCGGUUCAACUUCCCAAGUACAAUUGGAACCCACAAAUCCAAACUCGAAAAAUAUCUUUUUAAUUCUUGUAAAAAACAAGCACAAAUCCAUAUCUAACUACAAAUAUGGACAAAAUACACACGGCGCUGGUUAAAAGUGGGUCAUACAGGAAAGUGUCUCAUUCCAUGGGCCGGUGAUAAUUCAUUUUUUUCUCUUGGUCGAAAGGUGAUAAUUCAUUCAUUGAGCGGUAAAUUUACAUUGAUUUUGCAGUUACCUCAAAAUUUAAAACUGAUUUGGUACCAAUAAAAUA
Rhodamnia argentea is the source of this 752-nucleotide long non-coding RNA. RefSeq lists it as uncharacterized. Lineage: Eukaryota; Viridiplantae; Streptophyta; Magnoliopsida; Myrtales; Myrtaceae. The transcript has 3 exons. The record is from RefSeq and is a predicted model, not a curated record.